Molecule: unclassified non-coding RNA, 337 nt
Filed under: soil metagenome
Description: partial contains 5.8S ribosomal RNA, internal transcribed spacer 2, and large subunit ribosomal RNA
Rfam family: 5.8S ribosomal RNA (bases 1-120)
Source: RNAcentral
GAUGAAGAACGCAGUGAAAUGCGAUAAGUAAUGUGAAUUGCAGAAUUCAGUGAAUCAUCGAAUCUUUGAACGCACAUUGCGCCCGCCAGAAUACUGGCGGGCAUGCCUGUUCGAGCGUCAUUUCAACCAUCAAGCCCCCGGGCUUGUGUUGGGGACCUGCGGCUGCCGCAGGCCCUGAAAAGCAGUGGCGGGCUCGCUGUCACACCGAGCGUAGUAGAUUUUAUCUCGCUCUGGGCGUGCUGCGGGUUCCGGCCGUUAAACCACCCUUUUAACCCAAGGUUGACCUCGGAUCAGGUAGGAAGACCCGCUGAACUUAAGCAUAUCAAUAAGCGGAGGA